UGAUAAUGAUGAUGAUGAUGAUGAUGAUGAUGAUGAUGAUGAUUUCAUCAUAUGAAUGGUAGUAAUAUUUGAGGAACAACACACCAUUAUCAUCACCACCACCACCACAG
Molecule: microRNA precursor, 110 nt
Filed under: Bigelowiella natans CCMP2755
Lineage: Eukaryota; Cercozoa; Chlorarachniophyceae
Description: miRNA EPrBNAG00000013100
Source: RNAcentral